CAGUGGUUUUUCCCUAUGGUAG
Molecule: microRNA, 22 nt
Filed under: Eptatretus burgeri (inshore hagfish)
Lineage: Eukaryota; Metazoa; Chordata; Myxini; Myxiniformes; Myxinidae
Description: Ebu-Mir-140-P3-v1_5p (mature (co-guide))
Source: RNAcentral